AUUGAACGCUGGCGGCAUGCCUUACACAUGCAAGUCGAACGGCAGCACGGGUGCUUGCACCUGGUGGCGAGUGGCGAACGGGUGAGUAAUACAUCGGAACGUACCUUAUCGUGGGGGAUAACGCAGCGAAAGUUGCGCUAAUACCGCAUACGCCCUGAGGGGGAAAGCGGGGGACCGUAAGGCCUCGCGCGAUUAGAGCGGCCGAUGUCUGAUUAGCUUGAUGGUGAGGUAAAAGCUCACCAAGGCGAUGAUCAGUAGCUGUUAUGAGAGGACGAUCAGCCACACUGGGACUGGGACACGGCCCAGGCUCUUACGGGCGGCAGCAGUGGGGAAUUUUGGAAAAUGGGGGCAACCCUGAUCCAGAAAUGCCGCGUGAGUGAAGAAGGCCUUCGGGUUGUAAAGCUCUUUUGUCAGGGAAGAGACGGCAGCUCUAACACAGUCUGCGAAUGACGGUACCUGAAGAAUAAGCACCGGCUAACUACGUGCCAGCAGCCGCCGUAA
RNAcentral lists this ribosomal RNA (501 nucleotides) under uncultured bacterium. RNAcentral's name for it is "partial 16S ribosomal RNA". It matches the Rfam family "Bacterial small subunit ribosomal RNA", at positions 30 to 523 of the family's 1533-position model. The record is from RNAcentral.